This 568-nucleotide long non-coding RNA is filed under the name Vigna radiata. RNAcentral's name for it is "long non-coding RNA (VRAD_LNC011036)". The record is from RNAcentral. Lineage: Eukaryota; Viridiplantae; Streptophyta; Magnoliopsida; Fabales; Fabaceae.
AUCAUUUUAAAUCAAAUGUACAUUGGGAAUUCUAGUACAAGUUAAUGAAGUACUCAUUUUUUUCUUGUAACAUGUUCGGUAUAGGGAGUUCUUCUUGCCAGACUCUUAAUCCGUUUUCGAGGAGCAGCUUUCAUCCAGUCAUACAUCGUGGUUUGUUUCAUUUCAAUACCAUCAUCAACCAUCGGGGUUUGGUGAUCAUCUUGAACUGGUGUGCUUCGCAAAUGACCUUCACUUCCAAAAAAUGGUUGUUCGACAAAAUCUUCACUCUUAUCUUCAUUGUUGGCCUCAACCGACUUCUUUAAUUUGUCAAUACUAGUUCGCAUGUCGGCAACAACUCUUGUUUGUUCAUCUACAAUAGAAAAUAAUUUCUCCGUUUCUCCUAUAUUUUGCUUGUAAUAUGGAAAACCAUGUUUUUGCACAGCGUCUUUGACCACCCCAUAAUUAAGCUCCUCUUUGGACACACCAACAUCAACAACAACCUACAAUGUCAUUAACAAAUUUCGUUUAAUAAAACAUCAAAUAUUAAAUACAUUGCAUCAACACACUCCUCUAAUGAACGACUACUCAC